Long non-coding RNA from Carya illinoinensis, 4165 nucleotides. RefSeq lists it as uncharacterized. Lineage: Eukaryota; Viridiplantae; Streptophyta; Magnoliopsida; Fagales; Juglandaceae. The transcript has 2 exons. The record is from RefSeq and is a predicted model, not a curated record.
UUUUGUCAUUAUACUCGCUGAAUCAUUAAUUAAAACUCUUUUCUUCAUAUUUUGCUAAUUAGAAGCAUAUUGGGGUUUGCAAUAAGAAUGUAGUAUGUCGUAUAGCAUGUUGUAGUUGGUGUACCAGAAGAUGGUUUUUUAUUACUGAAGCCAUGUGCAAGGCUUUUGUCCAUUUGUUGUUUGUGAAUUGCUUAGGUUGUUGUGCAUAAGUUUCUUCCCCAAUAGAUCUACAACAUUGUAAUCUUCAUUUAUAUAUCAGUUAAGAAAUAUGUUUGAAAAUCUAUUUAUGGUGACAGAUAUAGAAAAUAUGUUUUUGGAAUUUGUAUUGUAACUUUAAACUUAUCAGUUAUUAUUCUUAUUUGAUGAUUUUCUGGUGACGCUGAUAGGAUAACUUGAAAAAAUUUGUGAUCAAUUGAUGAAAUAAAAUUUUCUUGAAAGAAAUAGGGGCAGUGGGAAGUCCAAUGCCGUCAUUCUCUAGUCACAAACCAGAGAUCCACGAUGUUGUUUUUUGGUCUUGAAUUGGUUUUGGUUCCAUUUUUAGUUUGAUUUUGGUUGGUUGAUUUUGUUUGGUUCGAUUUUUGUUUGGUGAUAUGUCAUUGUAUCAGUUUAGUUUGGAUCUGGAAGGUGUGUGGUGGAAGGAAUAAUUGUUUUUUGGUGGUUUUGGACAGAGGAGCAGCCGGUUCCUACCCUCCAUCCUUCCACCUGUAUGAUGGAGAUGAACAGCCUUUCUGUAAGGCAGGGCGUGAGGGAACAGUCCCUAUCUUUGAAAUGCCUACCAUUUCAAUUCAUCCAAAGGCACCACAUAAUACAAUGAGGAAUUGUUUUCCACACCUCAGCAAUAUCAAUGGUAACCCAAAGACCACUUCAACACCUGAAAGUAUCCAUAUUACCCUUCUAGGCAUUACCCAUUUCACACCAGUCCAGUUGAAGAUGUCAUCCCACAAAAAUCUGGCUACCUCAUAAUCUAACAAAAUAUGAUCAACAGUUUCCCCAUUUUUCUUACACAAAUAGCACCAAUCCCAAAUAAUAAUACCAUGUUUCCUCAACUUAUCAAUGGUGAGAGUUUUCCCAAAGGAAGCAGUCCAACCAAAGAAAGCAAUCUUGGGAGGUACUUUGAUGACCCACAAGGACCACAUAAAAGGAUCGAACAGUAAAUUUUCUACUCCCAUUUGGAAUCCAAAUCAUCCUAUCCUCCACUGCAGUAUCAGUAUUCAAAGCAUACAAUAAACUAAAAAAAAUCAGCAAUGAUACCUAGUUCCAAUCCUGAACCACACUGAUGAAACAAACAUUUCACAAGAUAGGACCAUUAGAACUAUCCCUCAAAUCAACCACAAUAGCUUCCUUCCAACCUCAAACGAAAGCAUUCCGAGGCUUUGAUAUAUUACUUCCCAUGACCGAACUCAAUGGUAUUUCAGCAUAGAGUCUGGUGGAAGAACUCAGUAUAUCCAUCCCCUUCUUUCAGCAUUGAGCCCGGGGUUUUUGUCUCCAUGAUAUUUCUUCCAUUAAAAGUACCUUCUCAACCUCCGAGGAUACAGAGCAUUUCCUAAUGGAAUCCUCAGCUGAAAGAGAACCAGUCAUCUACCUUCCCUCCAAAGCGUUCCAAACCUUCAGGUCCUUCAAGGCCUUGAGUUUUCUUGCAAACAUUUUUUUUAUAAGUGUUUUCCUGCCAAAGUUAAACUUGGGGUGCCCUCCAAGUAAUAAGAAGACCACCAAGAUCUCGCCUUAUCCCCAAAGCCAUAAACUUUCAGCCACAUAUUCUCGAACUUGAAGUAUCUUCUGCCUUCAUGAAUGCCCCCACAAUCAAACAAGAUAGGGAAGUGGUCAGAAUAGAAGCUAGGUUAUCUCUUCUGAUACAACAAAGGGAAAUAAGCCUCCCAAGAAUCUGUUCAAUCUAGACCAAGCCUGAUUGUUGGACCAAGUGCACGUAUCUCUAGCAAGAGAAUGGGGGACGAGUUAAAAAUGUUUAAAAUCUUUGACAAAUACAACUCUCUGUGUGUAUGCAUGGUGUCAUUUAGGUACACACUAUGUAUGUAUGUUGUUUUCUAUGUGAUACUAUAGUUAACCAUACAAUGAAAACUUUGGCAAUAUAAAAAGAAAAGGAAAGGUAGUUGGUGAAUGCUGUUUAAAGAAAACCAUUUCUGAACACAAUGUUACUUAGACAUAGUCUAGUUAAAGCCCCGUUUGGUUAUAAGACUCAAUUGAGAUCAACUCAGUUCAGUUUAAUUUUAAGCCGAGUCUAACAUUCAAACAUUCAAACACCAAAUUCUAAAACUACUUUUUCUUUUUUAUGGGUAAUCAAGAAAUUAUAUUCAUAGCAAUAGGCAAAGCCCAAAUACACAGGAAGUAUACAUGAGAAAUACCUUGCUAGAGGUUACAAUAGAAAGAAGAAAGUCAUGGACCCUAAUUCCGACCCUAAUUCCGUUACAAACUAUGGCCACUGCCCAUAAGACUUUUUUUUUUUUGUCACCACUCACGCCGUUACGUACGCUAGACCACAACAUCAAACAUCCAAACACCCAACUUUCAAAUUACUAAACUAAUCUUAACUCAAAACCCCUUUACACAUAGAACCCACAAUCUUUUUCAACUAAGCACUUCUUAAUAUGUGGGACCCACAACCUUUUUCAACUUCCCAUAAAUAGUACUAAACUCAUCUUAACAUCCAAAUACAUCUAAACUCAUUUAGAUUGGCCCCACAUAACUCACUCUACCAACUCAACUCACUACUAUUUAUAAAGAGCUCAGUUUAGUUCAGCUCAGCUUAACAUUCAAAUGCAGCCUAAGUGUACGUUUGGGUGGUAGGUGCCCCUCUAGAAUAAAAUGUAUAUGAUUUUGCAGUGUUCUUAUUUGUGGCAAUUAAAACUCAGCCAUAAAGAAAGUAGCAAAUAUGGAAAGCUAUUCUGUUGUGUUAUCUGGUGACUGCUUGGCAGUAUCCUGUUCAUUUCUUAUCUAGCUAUUUUGUAAAGAUUCAAUGGAAGUUCUAGCCAUAUAUCUUAUAUGCACUAUAACCUGGUAUAGUCAAUUUAAAAAGAAAAGAAAAUUUGAAGUUUCUCUAUAAUUAUUUAUAAAUACAUUGUUUGCAUAGUAUGUGGCCAAUGUAGAACUUAGCACUCAUGACUACCUUUAUAAUUUAGCCACACUGUGAAUAAUUUCUUUUUCCCAUUAAUGUGGGACUGGGGUGUUACAUAUUUGUUGAUCUUUUGAAGUUGGGGAUUGUAACUUUUAGUUUCUGUUCUUGAAUACUUGUAUACUUCAUAGUUGUCUACUUAAUAGAAUGACACCCUACGUAUAAAAUAAUUGAUGUCUAAGUGUCAUUGUGUAAAUAUAUAUAUAUAUAUAUAUAAUUUGUGGUCCUGGAUUGAUAUUUUUGUAGAAUUUUUGUUUGUAGAUUUAGAUGUAAAGAGGAUGUAAGAAAUUUAAGAGGGGAGUUCGUAAGACCCCACUCCCACAUUAGCAAUAUGCAUAACCACUAUUCGGCUAGUGCUUUCGUUGGGUCAUUUGACUCUCUGUCUCUUUUUAUCUCUCUCUGUGUUGUAAUACAAUAUAUGCAGGUGAGUUAUUAUCAUUGUUUUUUUUUUUCCUUUUCUUUUGUUCUUCUUCUUCUUCUUCUUCUUCUUCUUCUCCUUAUUGAUUUAUUUUUUUUACCUCUAGUAAUUUCAGAAUUACAGAAUUGAGGUCUUUUAUGUCCUUAUUUUAAAAUGCUUCCAGUCUUCAUGGGGUAAUUUGUAGGUCACUGGUAGAUUAGAAAUGUAUUACCUUCAGGUUGAGUUUUCUAUAGCCAAUUAUUGAACUGCAAGAUGUAAAACGGCAUUCAUAUGUAAAUUUCUAUUUUGAGACUUCUUUUAUACUUUUGGUGCCCUGGAGUUCUUUUCCUAGUAGAUUUUUAGGCAUUCUUGUUCAUCAUCUACCCUUUUUUUCAUUGCCCAAAUCGCACUUUUUUUUAUUGCUUAAUGAAAUGUUUUUUAAUUGCCCAAAUGACACUUAUUAAGUGGAUUUUUGUAGUUUCAUUCUAUAUUUGAUGUUGGAGAUGAAGGUAAGCAUGCUUCAUUCGAGUAGAUAUUGACAUAAUACACUUGGCUUUCUACUAAUGUACUGCUUCUAUUUGAACUUUUUGGUGCAUAGCCAACAGAACAAAUGCCUUUUCAGCACCUAGAUCUAGGCAAUG